ACGCAAGGUCCAAAACACGCUGGGGAAAGGGGCUUGCUCUAGUGUGGCUCUUUCCCUUUAAAUGCACAAACUCUAGGGACAUGGCAUCCCCGUUGCUAAACAGUGGCAGGAGGAGUAAGGAGACGGCAGAGGGCGGGCCAUCAGUAAGUAGUCCAACAGAAGGGAGUCAAAACAAGCAGGAGAUCAGGAAUCAGAAGGUCAGUCCAACAGGAGCAAGCUAAGCCACAGUCAACACAAGCAGGAGGUCAAAAGCCAGGGAAUCACAAAAGCCUGAAACUAGGAUGAACCAAAGUGCAUUCACAAUGAAGUUGCUUCAGCAAGAGACAGAGGCAAGCUGGAAGCUUCCAUAAGAAACCAGGACUGAGGCCCUGCCUGGGCUAGGAAUGUUCCAAGUCAAGUCUUAAAGGACCUCUGUCCUAUUUUCCAGGAGCAAGCUGGGUUGCCGUUAUUAGGGUUGGCGGUGCUUCUGCUUCUUCCUCCAAAGACAGGGGUACGGAUUGGGAGGUACAGGGACCACUAGUAUUGGAGGUGGAAGCCUCUUGAGACCUGCCUCAUUCUGUGAAUCCUCCAUAUCCACUCAAAUGAUAGAGUGUCAAGUUCAGGGUUCAUGACAAUAACGCCCCUGACAAAAUAAAUAAGAGGGAACAAAGCACCGUUUUCCACUUUUGAAUUUAUUUAUUGAGUUCUUUUUUCCACAAACACUGUAUCUCCCAAAUUGUUAUGCACAGAAAGAAAGCUUCAGGAUAGAUAAAGGCACUCACUACUGUGCACAACUAGGUAUUCAGUCCUCUAUCUUCAUAUAUGAAUCCUUUUCAGUGAUCAACUUCUUAGUGAAUCAAUGUCAGCAUAAAUAUUUCUCCCAGCUAAAUAUGAACAACUUUAACAAAAUACAUAAAUUGUCAUCUCAAGUAACAAACAAAAAUAAUGCAGAAAGAUACAAUAUUGCUAUAAAAAUAUUGCAAACAAUGAACUGCUCAAUUACUUACAAAGACUUCAGACACAUUCAAUGAGAUAACUCACAACUGUGUGCAGCUUAAGUUUCAUUUCUCUGUCUUAAAAUACUAACAUAUAAACACAAAAGAGAAUAUAUUUUGUUUUCAUCAUAUUGGUAUUAUUGGUAUUUUUGUUUUGUGAGAUACAUUUAUGCUAAUAUUAAAUCAUUAAGAAGUUACUGGAGACUAUUGGAAUUUGGAGGUGUCAAUGUAGACAAAAUUAACUAUUUUAACAUAACUAAAACUUGCAUUGAUUGAGGGAAGAGAAGUGCUGGUUUUUGUUUUUAGGUGGUGUUAGGUUGUUAGUUUUAUAACUACAUUGCAUAACAUGCAUAUUAUAUUAAUAUGGGAUGGUGUCAUAUUAUCCUCAUGAAAUCUGGAUUUUAAAGGAUAGCGAAAUAUUGUGCUUGCGUGUGUCCUUGUUUUUGAAGGUUAGCAAUACUAAACAAUAAAUUCAGCCGGUAACAG
Molecule: long non-coding RNA, 1460 nt
Organism: Hemicordylus capensis (graceful crag lizard)
Lineage: Eukaryota; Metazoa; Chordata; Lepidosauria; Squamata; Cordylidae
Exons: 2
Source: RefSeq, a predicted model, not a curated record